GGCCCUCGAUAAAUAAGACUCCUCUGUCCCUCACGAGCCUCCACUGACGACCGUUGAGCUCAGUUCCUCCACUCUUUCCCUUGGAAGCCACGGCACUCUCUUCUUAUGUUUGUCAGAAAUUAAAAGUUCGAAGAGGCCAUCGGAGUUCAGGUAAGGGUUAAAUCUUUCUUCCUCUCCCUCUUUUCUUUCUUCCCAUGGUUUUAGACUCCUCGCUAGCCGUC
This 221-nucleotide long non-coding RNA is filed under the name Elaeis guineensis (African oil palm). RNAcentral's name for it is "long non-coding RNA (EGUI_LNC078095)". Lineage: Eukaryota; Viridiplantae; Streptophyta; Magnoliopsida; Arecales; Arecaceae. The record is from RNAcentral.